CUCUUGCAAACGCUGUCGCGCGCCGUGCGCGUCCACGGUUUAUAUGCACGUUCCGUAUACUUCCCCAGGCAGAAUAACUUCAACAAACCCCCUCGUCAGUCCCUUUCACUUUUGUCCAACACGUCAACAUGGUGAACUAUCCUGCAACAGGAGACCUAUCAGUGGAGCUGAAUCUGAGAUCAAAAUGAACAUCCUUGCAACAGUGGUUAUCCUGGGUGCAAGUGGAGCUGGUUAUCAUAACCUGGACCUGGAUGUCAGGAAAGAGGCUAACGUCUGAGUGGGAGUAGAUCGGUGCAAAUGAGAAGUCCGCCUUGUUAAACUUGAAUCAUGAAGCCAAAGGGCUUGAUUAAGAUAAUAUAAUCUAAACUGUAUUGUUGUUGUUUUUUUACAAAGAGAAUUAAUCUAUUAUGUUACAUGUUUGUUGUUAUGUUUUGAGUGAACCGCUUAAGGCAUAUGCUGCCGUAAAUCAAGAGUCUCAUGACAGAUUUGAUGCUAAACCGGUUCCUCUUCCUUUGUUAAACAAACUGGAGCAUAAUGCAUUGCUUUUGUGUUUAAAUUCAGGACAAACUGGUUUGUGAAAGUGAUGGCAAGGUGCAUAAUUAAAUAUAUCACAAAAUAAUUAUCUAAAAUCAGAAAUACUAAAUUGAUCCCUGUGUGGUAGUAUGGUUUACUUUCUCUGAUGCAUGGCUGGUAGAAUGAAAUAAAAUACCAUACAUUUUUAUAAAU
Cyclopterus lumpus (lumpfish) is the source of this 726-nucleotide long non-coding RNA. RefSeq lists it as uncharacterized. The transcript has 3 exons. The record is from RefSeq and is a predicted model, not a curated record. NCBI's taxonomy places the organism in Eukaryota, Metazoa, Chordata, Actinopteri, Perciformes, Cyclopteridae.